UAUUUCUUAUUAGAGAAAUAGAAUUUACGUGGUAUAGUAAUAUAACAAUAUUUUUUAGGAGUGAUAGGCUUUUCAAGUAUGAUGAUAACUUGAUAUGCAAAAAAAAUAUUAAGUAUAAAAAUAGAUUAUGAAAGUUAAGCUUCAUAAUUAAAAUUAAUUUUUUUUAUUGAUUUUAUUAUAGUUUAAUAGCUUAUAAGAAGUUAAAAAAAAAUUAUUUUAUAAGAAUUAUUUAAAUAAUUGCAUUAUACUUUUUGGUUUUAAUAUAAAUUAUGUUAGUAUUAGUAAUUAUUAUAAAUAAAUUAUAGGAACUCGGCAAAAUAUUUUUCACCUGUUUAUCAAAAACAUAACUAUAUGAUCUAAUAUAUAGCUAUUCCUGCUCAAUGAUAUAUUAAAUAGCCGCAGUACCCUGACUGUGCAAAGGUAGCAUAAUCAAUUGGCUUUUAAUUGGAGUCUUGUAUGAAUGGAUAUAUGGAAAAUCACUGUCUUUAAUUUUUUAAUAUUAAUUUAGUUUGUAAGUGAAAAUACUUACAUAUAUAUAUAGGACGAGAAGACCCUAGAAACUUAGCAAAAUAUUUUGUUGGGGCGACAGAAUUACAAAAAACUAAUUUUACUAUACUAGACGUGUAAACAGCUAGAUUAAGUUACUCUAGGGAUAACAGCAUAAUUUUUACAGUUUGUGACCUCGAUGUUGGACUAGGGAAUUUAUUGUUUAGAAGACAUAAAGUGUGCUCUGUUCGAGCU
Molecule: ribosomal RNA, 741 nt
Filed under: Theba impugnata
Lineage: Eukaryota; Metazoa; Mollusca; Gastropoda; Stylommatophora; Helicidae
Description: partial 16S ribosomal RNA
Source: RNAcentral